CUCAGAUUGAACGCUGGCGGCAGGCUUAACACAUGCAAGUCGAGCGGAGAUGAGGUGCUUGCACCUUAUCUUAGCGGCGGACGGGUGAGUAAUGCUUAGGAAUCUGCCUAUUAGUGGGGGACAACAUUCCGAAAGGAAUGCUAAUACCGCAUACGUCCUACGGGAGAAAGCAGGGGAUCUUCGGACCUUGCGCUAAUAGAUGAGCCUAAGUCGGAUUAGCUAGUUGGUGGGGUAAAGGCCUACCAAGGCGACGAUCUGUAGCGGGUCUGAGAGGAUGAUCCGCCACACUGGGACUGAGACACGGCCCAGACUCCUACGGGAGGCAGCAGUGGGGAAUAUUGGACAAUGGGGGGAACCCUGAUCCACCCAUGCCGCGUGUGUGAAGAAGGCCUUAUGGUUGUAAAGCACUUUAAGCGAGGAGGAGGCUACUGAGACUAAUACUCUUGGAUAGUGGACGUUACUCGCAGAAUAAGCACCGGGUAACUCUGUGCCAGCAGCCGCGGUAAUACAGAGGGUGCGAGCGUUAAUCGGAUUUACUGGGCGUAAAGCGUGCGUAGGCGGCUUUUUAAGUCGGAUGUGAAAUCCCCGAGCUUAACUUGGGAAUUGCAUUCGAUACUGGGAAGCUAGAGUAUGGGAGAGGAUGGUAGAAUUCCAGGUGUACCGCUGCCAUGCGUAGAGAUCUGGAGGAAUACCGAUGGCGAAGGCAGCCAUCUGGCCUAAUACUGACGCUGAGGUACGAAAGCAUGGGGAGCAAACAGGAUUAGAACCCCUGGUAGUC
RNAcentral lists this ribosomal RNA (778 nucleotides) under uncultured bacterium. RNAcentral describes it as "bacterial SSU rRNA". It matches the Rfam family "Bacterial small subunit ribosomal RNA", at positions 23 to 795 of the family's 1533-position model. The record is from RNAcentral.